This 374-nucleotide ribosomal RNA is filed under the name uncultured organism. RNAcentral describes it as "partial 16S ribosomal RNA". It matches the Rfam family "Bacterial small subunit ribosomal RNA", at positions 527 to 896 of the family's 1533-position model. The record is from RNAcentral.
GUAGGUGGCAAGCGUUGUCCGGGAAUUAUUGGGCGUAAAGCGCGCGCAGGUGGUCUUUAAGUCUGAUGUGAAAGCCCCCGGGCUCAACCGGGGAGGGUCAUUGGAAACUGGGGAACUUGAGUGCAGGAGAGGAAAGUGGAAUUCCACGUGUAGCGGUGAAAUGCGUAGAUAUGUGGAGGAACACCAGUGGCGAAGGCGACUUUCUGGCCUGUAACUGACACUGAGGCGCGAAAGCGUGGGGAGCAAACAGGAUUAGAUACCCUGGUAGUCCACGCCGUAAACGAUGAGUGCUAAGUGUUGGGGGGGUUUCCGCCCCUCAGUGCUGCAGCUAACGCAUUAAGCACUCCGCCUGGGGAGUACGGUCGCAAAGACUG